AAAUUGAAGAGUUUGAUCAUGGCUCAGAUUGAACGCUGGCGGCAGGCCUAACACAUGCAAGUCGAACGGUAACAGGAAGCAGCUUGCUGCUUUGCUGACGAGUGGCGGACGGGUGAGUAAUGUCUGGGAAACUGCCUGAUGGAGGGGGAUAACUACUGGAAACGGUGGCUAAUACCGCAUAACGUCGCAAGACCAAAGAGGGGGACCUUCAGGCCUCUUGCCAUCAGAUGUGCCCAGAUGGGAUUAGCUUGUUGGUGAGGUAACGGCUCACCAAGGCGACGAUCCCUAGCUGGUCUGAGAGGAUGACCAGCCACACUGGAACUGAGACACGGUCCAGACUCCUACGGGAGGCAGCAGUGGGGAAUAUUGCACAAUGGGCGCAAGCCUGAUGCAGCCAUGCCGCGUGUAUGAAGAAGGCCUUCGGGUUGUAAAGUACUUUCAGCGGGGAGGAAGGUGUUGUGGUUAAUAACCGCAGCAAUUGACGUUACCCGCAGAAGAAGCACCGGCUAACUCCGUGCCAGCAG
This 524-nucleotide ribosomal RNA is filed under the name Salmonella enterica. Its description in RNAcentral is "bacterial SSU rRNA". It matches the Rfam family "Bacterial small subunit ribosomal RNA", at positions 1 to 514 of the family's 1533-position model. The record is from RNAcentral. Lineage: Bacteria; Pseudomonadati; Pseudomonadota; Gammaproteobacteria; Enterobacterales; Enterobacteriaceae.